UAUGUAGGGCGCAAGCGUUGUCCGGAAUUAUUGGGCGUAAAGAGCUCGUAGGCGGUCUGUCGCGUCUGCCGUGAAAACCCGAGGCUUAACCUCGGGCUGGCGGUGGAUACGGGCAGACUAGAGGUAGGUAGGGGAGAAUGGAAUUCCCGGUGUAGCGGUGAAAUGCGCAGAUAUCAGGAGGAACACCGAUGGCGAAGGCAGGUCUCUGGGCCACUACUGACGCUGAGAAGCGAAAGCAUGGGGAGCGAACAGG
Molecule: ribosomal RNA, 253 nt
Filed under: uncultured bacterium
Lineage: Bacteria
Description: partial 16S ribosomal RNA
Rfam family: Bacterial small subunit ribosomal RNA
Source: RNAcentral